RNAcentral lists this ribosomal RNA (141 nucleotides) under Lachnospiraceae bacterium. Lineage: Bacteria; Bacillati; Bacillota; Clostridia; Lachnospirales; Lachnospiraceae. The record is from RNAcentral.
UCCGGUGGCGAUGCGCGUGGGGGUCACACCCGUUCCCAUCCCGAACACGUAGUUGGACAGCUUGCUGUCUAACAGGUUAAGCCCCAUGCGGCCGAUGAUACUGUAUUGGAGACGAUAUGGGAAAGCAGGUGGCUGCCGGAU